Long non-coding RNA from Pyrus x bretschneideri (Chinese white pear), 775 nucleotides. RefSeq lists it as uncharacterized. The transcript has 2 exons. The record is from RefSeq and is a predicted model, not a curated record. NCBI's taxonomy places the organism in Eukaryota, Viridiplantae, Streptophyta, Magnoliopsida, Rosales, Rosaceae.
UAUUCGAACUAAAUUAAUCCCAAUAAUAAGCCUGGAAGUGGAAACCCAACAAUCCACGCCUCCACAAGGCAUAACUCCUCCGCCUUCUAACUUACCCAUUAAUUCUUCCUCCAGGUCUACAACUCCUGCCCCCUUUCACGGCGACCCGUCGACCCUCCUUCCGCUACACCCAAUCACACUACCCCACUUUCACCCACACCUCCGCCUCCAACAAAAUGCUCGUCGUGAUCGGCAAGUCCAGGAACAUUCAGCUCUUAUAGGACACCCUCCAUGAGAUGGGUCAUCGUCGUUUGGUAAAUUGCAAGAUAUUUGUUAUUGUUCUGGGAUGCUGGACAAGCCCUGGGAGUUGAGAAGGUCGAAGCUCAUCGUUUAGCCAAUUUUUGGUUUUUAAGCUGAAGGAAUCGAUUCGGCCCUAUAGGUUUACUUACAAGUGUUUGAUUCAAGGUUUCUGCAAUGUGGGUGAUUUGAUUGAGGCUUCAAAGAUUUGGAAUUUGAUGGCGGAUGCUGGGUUCUAACUGGAUAUCGAUGUCGUUGAGAAGAUGAUGAAACCAUUUUCAAGACGAAUUGAUAUGUCCGGGCUAGAACGUCAUCGCCAUGGUCCGGGCUAAGGACCAUUUAUUUAUGUUUUUGGAUCGGCCAUGCCCCGCCAACUUCGUCGACCUGUCCAGUGCGAAACCGAUUAUACCUGCCCUGACCCGCCGGUCCAAGGUCGUUUGCCUAACCCUACAUUAUACUCAAGAUGCUGAAAGAAAUAUUACAGAAACCAUUUUUUUCA